UAAUUUUAAUUCUUUAUGGGGUUACAUUUCUAAUAUCCUCCCUCAAAUUAAAAGCGGUUAGGUUUUUAAUUUGAAAAAGAAUGAGAUGUAGAGUUGCAACCCUUGGGUCGAAUCAGAGGCGGUUCGCCUGGAUUCUUGAGCCUGGGUUGUGUACAUCUAGCAGUUGCAAUUUUUGGAGUAAAUUGCGAAAAGUUGGUCCUCCCAGGGGUUUUGUGAAAAAGUCCCCAACGUUUUGUGCACUGGGAAUGUGCUUCAAUACAACCUCUCCCGCUAAA
This 275-nucleotide long non-coding RNA is filed under the name Zostera marina. RNAcentral describes it as "long non-coding RNA (ZMAR_LNC005695)". Lineage: Eukaryota; Viridiplantae; Streptophyta; Magnoliopsida; Alismatales; Zosteraceae. The record is from RNAcentral.